CCCUAUUAUUUUGAGUGUUAAUUUAUGUUUUCUAGGUAGUAUUAGGUAUGUUCUUGAAACCUAAAGAAUUUGGCGGUAUUUUAUUCCAAUCAGAGGAAUCUGCCCCGUUAUCGAUAAUCCGCGUUGUACCUUACUUAGUUUAAAUUUGUUUGUAUACCGCCGUAUAUUGAUUAUCAUUUUAGUGUUUUAAUUUUCUUAAUUCUUGAUUAAGUUGUAUUUCAGGUCAAGGUGCAGUUUGUGGCUAAGUGUGAGGUGGAUUACAUUGAUUUUUUGUUAUGUUGGAUUACUUGUUGAAUAUUUAUGUAUGAAAUUGGAUUUGAUUGUAAUGUUUUAAUGAAGGUUGUUUUUAUGAUAAUUGGUUCUAGGAUAUGUACACAUCGCCCGUCGCUCUCGUUAUUUGUUAGUGAGAUAAGUC
Molecule: ribosomal RNA, 415 nt
Filed under: Dolichorhinotermes longilabius
Lineage: Eukaryota; Metazoa; Arthropoda; Insecta; Blattodea; Rhinotermitidae
Description: partial 12S ribosomal RNA
Source: RNAcentral